This 2262-nucleotide long non-coding RNA is filed under the name Marmota monax (woodchuck). Lineage: Eukaryota; Metazoa; Chordata; Mammalia; Rodentia; Sciuridae. The record is from RNAcentral.
GUUUUUUUGCCAGCUUGCUAGUUUUUAAAUGACAUCUCAUAUUGUGAUUUUACAUUUUUUUAGUUGUAUAAAAACUAUCCUGACUUGAUGCCAUUAUAUAUUUAAUCGUAACCAAGUGUUAUUCCAUGUAAAUUAUCAACUGGUUAAUAAUUGGAUUUCCCAGUUAAAGGCAGAUCAGUGCAAAUGUCUGGUCUCCUUUGAAUUAACAGUUCUCACUGUAAAUUCAUAGCUGUCAUUGUGGUUUUUAUGUAUUGAUUUUAUGUAUUAUAAUAGUUAAUAUCCACACAUGUUUCUGAGCCUCCAAGUCCAACUUGCUGAACUUUGUCAUAAAUUCAUUAAUGUAAAAGUUUGGUAGUUCUUUAGCACUCCUGCCAUCAGGAGAUGGAGUAUAUUAUGUUCUCUUGAAUUUAAAAGAGGCCCAGUUACUGUUUUGACUAGUAGAGUAACAUAAAAGUAAUGAUAUUGAUUUAUGAUACUAGGUCAUAAAAAGCUAUGUAUCUUAUGUCUUAUUGAUGGGAACACUCACUUUUGAAGCCCAAGCCACCAUAUAAUAAAUGUGGCUACCCCAAGCCAUCAUGUUGGAGAUAUUAUGUGUAGACAUUACAGUUGACAAUCCUCACUGAGCUCUUGGCCAUCCGCUAGUAUCAACUGCCAGUUUAGCAACACAAUCAAAUUAAUAUCUUGAAAAAAUACUUACAUGUUAAUCAUUGUUUACUCACUGUUUUUUUAAUGAAAAAUGUAUAAUGGGAGUAAGUCAUCUUGGACAUCAUGCCCAGUUGAGGCUCCAGAUACUCUAUCCCAACUACUAUCUGACUGUAACUUCCUGAGACCUGCAUGUGAGAAUCACCUAGUUGAGCCCAGUCAACCUACAGGGUUAUGAAACAUAGUAUAGUUUUGUAGCUACUCAGAUUUGGGAUAGUUUGUCUUGUACCAGUAGGUAACUGGCAUAGCCACCUGAGAGCCUCUCUGCUGGAUCUUACCAAAUUGUAUCUUCAGGUGCCUUCUGAGAAUUUCAGAUCUUUAUUCCCACAGAUACCAUUCUUUCCUGUACUAUCAUUAUGUUCCAUUGCCCAACUGAUUUCAGCCUUUAAUCUCUUAUUCAAUUCAUCCUGCACUCAUCUGAAAGAAUAUUUGCUUAUUUAUAUAUUUAUUUUUUACAGCUCCCUGAGAGUAGUCUUGAACUUACAAUCCUCUUGCCUCAGCCUCCUGAAGUGCUGGGAUUACAGCCAUGUGCUACCAUGCCUGGCUUAAAUUUUCUUAAAACAGUUUUUUUCUUUUAGUCUUUGUUUCUUUCCAAUUCAGUACCCUGAAACAAUAAUUAUAAUUCUGUCUCCCUAAAUAUAAUUUUGAAUGUUUGCCCAUAGACUUUAUAUCAUAUAGUCUUAACAUUAUUGGCCUGUAUUUCCAGAAAUUAAGAAAUUCCAGAAUUUUUAUAUAACAAUUUUAAAUAUUUGAGAAAAAAUUUUACGUGUGAAAGACCCAAGUGUUUUGCAUACAUAUUUUAAUUUGCUGCCUUUGUGCAAAUAACUGAUGUAUUGUUAUUUGGUAUAGAGAUUCAUCAAUUUUUUUUUUGGUUGAGGGUACAAGGGAUUGAACCCAGGGGUGCUUUGCCACUGAGCAACCCUAUUUUAUUUUGAGACAGUUUUGCCAAGUUACCAGGGCAGGCCUCAAACUUGGGUUCCUCCUUCUUUAGCCUCCUGAGUUGCUAGGAUUUCAGGUAUGCACUAUUAUGACCAGUUGAGUUUCAUCAAAUCUUAAUCCUCAUCUUGCAGAAUUAUUGGAAACCUUGUGUGCUGUAUUGGUGCCAGAUAUGUCAUUUAUAGAUUACUCCUUCACAAGGCUGCAAACCACUUCAUAUGCCCAAAUCAUUUCCUUUCUGGAAAGGAUACAUUAUGUCAGCAUGGUUACCAUGUGUGGUAAUUGAUAAUGUCUGUGCCACAUGGCUUACUUCUACCCUUGUCCAACACAACUCUUCUACCACCUAUGAUUACCAUAUGGUAUCGCACUCUAGGUUAAUGGAAUCAUUUCCAUCUUCCCUUCUAGUCACAAAUGUCAUUAUGGCUCAAUUCCAUCAGCUCAACUAAGAAUAAAGUAUUCAUUACUAUCUAAGCAUGGAAAACACCUUUGUGAACAGUUUUCACAUUUAGUUGCCUGUUAAAUUUUUAUUUAAAAAAGCAGCUGGGUUUUUGUUUUCAUUUGCUCUAGUCAUCUGCUGACUAGAAUAGGGAGAUGAUCAAUAUCAUUCUGAAUGCUUACAUAUAU